Dama dama (fallow deer) is the source of this 587-nucleotide long non-coding RNA. RefSeq lists it as uncharacterized. The record is from RefSeq and is a predicted model, not a curated record. NCBI's taxonomy places the organism in Eukaryota, Metazoa, Chordata, Mammalia, Artiodactyla, Cervidae. The transcript is spliced from 3 exons.
CUGAAGGAAGUAGAAAGGACGGGAACUGGUCAGUCAACAGCAUUCAGGUGCCAAGUCGUGAACACACUGCGGGGAGGAGACCGGUGACAGAAAGUGACUGGAGGACACAGGAAUCCCUAAAAGAUCGAAAAAAUGUUCUCCGCAAACUAAACAAAGUUAGAUUGAGAAAUGCAGCAUGGUACCAUGGGGGCCUGGUUCGGCCCUGACCCGCUGCCCGCAGGCGCCGGCCUCAGACGCUCAGAGCAGCCUGGGGAGAGAGGGGACACUUUGACUUUUCAAGAUCUAAGAGUUAUGGUUCCCUUUUGGCAAAAUGCUUUUUGUCCUGUGAUAACACUUGAGUCCUUUGUGGUAGCACCGAUUGUGGCCUUGGCAGCCCAGAAUCCCAUGGACAGAGGAGCCUGACAGGCUGCAGUCCAUGGGGUCGCAAAGAGUUGGACACAAGUGAAGUGACUUAGGAGGCAUGCACUGGGAUGACAGACCUGUAACAUCAUUAAAGAAACAUAGGGAUCCCAGAAUGACAAGACUGAACUCUGCCUUCAAAACAGAACAGGAGGAAAAAUGGCUGCUGGGGACCUAGAUGGCCUUGC